GCAGCAGCUGCUCCCGCCUCUUUUGGGCCUCUGUUUUCUGCCAGUCUGGAGGAAAUGCAGAGAAUCUGUCAAUCUGCUGCUGACACUACAAAUAUAAACAAACAAACAAACAAACAAGCAGGUGAGCUGGAGCCUCUCAGCUUUCCAGGGUUUUUCCAGGAAGGGGCCCCACAGGGUCCAGGUGGGACCCUGAUCCAAAUCCCUGAGCCUCCCCCUGGAGGAGGGGGGGGCUGCCCACAGGAGAGCCCUCACUCCCCCUGGGGCUCAAAUAUCCGCCUGGCGCCCCCAGCUCCACAUCCAGCCAGUGCAGAGACGGACCCCCCCCAAGGAUUUGUGCUCAAAUGAAAAUAACAAAUCAGAGUAUUCCACUGUAGUCAGGAAGUGUAUUCAUGAAGGUUGUACUGAGUAAACUUUGACAGCAUUAACCCCGCCCACCACCAACAUAACUACACCCCCAUCUCUAAUUUUGGAAUGUUAAAGGGAAUUUUUUCAAAUAAAAGUCUUUACAGUAUCUAUUA
Non-coding RNA from Oryzias latipes (Japanese medaka), 518 nucleotides. The record is from RefSeq and is a predicted model, not a curated record. NCBI's taxonomy places the organism in Eukaryota, Metazoa, Chordata, Actinopteri, Beloniformes, Adrianichthyidae.